Molecule: long non-coding RNA, 707 nt
Organism: Brachypodium distachyon (stiff brome)
Lineage: Eukaryota; Viridiplantae; Streptophyta; Magnoliopsida; Poales; Poaceae
Exons: 2
Source: RefSeq, a predicted model, not a curated record
CUCCUCCGCGCGUGAGCCAGCCAGCCUGGGCGGAUGGAGACAAGGAGCAUCAGCCUUUCCAUUAUUCCCUCCUCCCUUUCCGGUGCUUCCGAGCGAGCGGCGACCUCUGUACAUGCCUGUGCCAGCCCUUUCCCCCGGCCUCUGGAGCCAUAUAUUUCUGCACAGUACCUUUGAUUGCAUGCGAUCCCCAUCGUCGUCGCCGGUGGUACGUAUGAUGGCAGCUUGGCAGGAGAGCAGUAGACGGCCGUGCUUCGGCUGCGCAUGAUCCGCCUGCAGUCUUUGCGCAGAUGAUUUUGGCGUGUGUUUGCACCACCACGGCACGGCAACAAAGCCUUUUUCUUUUCUUACGUGCUGGAACGGAAUCUUCGAUCUGCUCGAACCCGGCCUCGAUUGGUGGGUGGAGUGAGUGCCAAGGUAUUCGCAGUGUUGGGGUGUUGCUAGAAGAUCAGCCCAAACUGCGCCGAAUAAUGUCAGAACACUAGCUUCAUACUCACUCCAAAAUAAGUAGUACUCCAGUACUACGACUAGCUACUCCAGUUCACACUCACUAUUCUCUCUCGUCUAAGCACGCAUAAACUGUGAUGAAAUUAAGUUUCCGUAGCUGGUUAGCAUAUCCGGCCGGCAUGCAUUCUUUCAGCCCACGUGCCCCGGCUCAAAAUCAUGUCAUGUACGUAUGUGCCCUUUCACGUGACGAAUCAUUGAACUAA